Non-coding RNA from Polyodon spathula (Mississippi paddlefish), 3454 nucleotides. NCBI's taxonomy places the organism in Eukaryota, Metazoa, Chordata, Actinopteri, Acipenseriformes, Polyodontidae. The record is from the annotation of a RefSeq genome assembly.
UCUGGUCCGAAGAUUAAAUCCAUGCUUUACAGUACACCAGUUAGCUGUGUUGAGGAGGCAGUGUUAUGCCCUUGCUUGUAGGUAUUUCAUUGUGUCACACACACACAUGCACAUUGAUAGGGUAUGUGGAUAUGGUCCAUUUAUAACCCGUCUAAUAAUAAUGCAAUUAAAUAGAAAUUUCCCUGAAUGAACGAACAGGUUUACACAUGGAACACACCAAACAUGGCAUUACAGGAUUCCCUUCAUGCUUGUGACAAAAACACGUUGUAAAGAUCAGAACUUAACAAUGGAACUGACAAAAGAAGUCCAGUUUAGAAGGUCAGAUGAAAAAUCCAAAUGGUAAUGAUGAGAGAUAAUUACUGUCAGGAACUUGCGAGCGUUGAAAUAAUUGUAAUCCCGUUAUGAGAAGUUGUUAAAAAAAUAAUUUAAAAAUCCAAAACGACACUAAUAAACUUAAAAAAAAAACAAAUUCCCAGACAAACAAUAAAUAAAUAACAGGCUCAGGUGGAGCCAAAUGGUAGCCCAUUCUGAGAAUUCAAAUUGCCCAAUGGGGAGUGGGGCAAAUUAAUUAAUUAUGUAGUUCCUUAUUAAAACUAUAGACCCUUCUUAAAGGGACAGUUGAGGACAUUAUUUUAUUACCCUACAUAACCAAGUGGCUGUUACAACCUCGCAAAGGCUUUGUAUGCAAAGCUUCACUGUAAUUGGAAUGACGAUUUCAGAGAAGGCGUUAGAAUAUUUUUGAAAAAUCCAAUAUGGCUGCCAAACCAUGUGACCUUAAUUUUCCGGCUAGCACAACUUCCCACAGGCCUCUAUCAUCGCGUGACGUUCCAUGAGUUUUAGUGCAACUGUGUUGAUUUUAAAGAUAUUUCAAAAUGCCAGGCAGUUUUACGCCUUCUAGUUGGAAAUUUUAGCACUGUAGCAUUGCAGCACAAGUGUCAGCAACAGAUCAGUUUUAUGGAACAGUUUCAAUUCAAAAUACUGCAUUAGUUCAUUAUCUCACGAUGCUUUAUAACUUUAAACAUCAUAGUAACCAUGAUAUACUUACUUACUAGAGGGAGUCUCCGUGACUGUAUUACAAUAUGAAGAACCACUAGAGGGCACUGCAGCACCUUUCUUUUAAGUUGUAAAAAGUUUCCACAAAAGCAACACAUUAGUUUAUGCCUGUCUCCAAUCAAAGCAAGUCCAUGAAAUAAUCAAAAAUAUAGUUUUAACACAUUUUACAAAUUAUUUGGAAACCUGCCAGCCUUAGGGUUCCAGCUAUUUUAACAUGACCAGUUCAAAUCUGUCAAUGCACAAUGAAACUUCAACAUGUAGAGAACAUGGGCGUUAACAAAUUGGGUCAUAAAUAAGAGAAUUAUGGCCAAACCCCCCCCCCCAAAAAACGGAUUAAUUAAAAAUGUGAAAAACAAAACAAAAACAUUACAUCUCCUAAUAUGGUAAUCUACCGGAAAUACACAAGUAGGACCUUGUUUUAAAGAUCUGAAUAUCCUUUUUCUUCCAAUGACGUAGGCAGGGCUGUCUCUCACAUAGAAAGACUAAAAAAAAAGACAGAACGCCAGCGGGCUAUUUAAGAUUGGGCAGAGCCUAAAAAGCUAAAAGAACAGCUGGCAUAUCUUCUCGUGCUGUGCUGUAAAUUACAGGGCAUACAAUACUGCAGUUCUCACUCUAGGGCACUAGAUGGCAGUACGUCCAUGUAAAUGAAACAGAAUGGAAGGUUAUGGUGAUACCACAUUUACACUGAGUCCAGUUCUGGACAUUAUGGCCCUGGAGCGAGUCCAAAGAAGCAACCAGACUAAUCCCAUCUGGGUGUAAAGGACUGAGCUACGAAGAGAGACUGAAAGAACAGAAUCUGAUUAAGAACAGUACUCUUACACCAGGUGAUCAGUUCUACUGAAAACCCCAAUUACGAGGAAGCAGCACGUUUCUUUUUUUAUAUAUGCGAGGCUUCAUGCAAACACACACUCCCACUUCCUGUCCUAACAAGUAUUUACUGAGUCUGCCGACAGGGAUCCUGCAACGAGUUCAGAGUGACAGGCCGUACUUCUGAAACAUGGACCACCACGCAAGAAUUGCUGUCAUGCUUUGGGGAUUGUCCGUUCUAGCACUAGAAGUGGAGUCCAGUAUUACGCUGACCCAGUCUGAUUCGGUCACUAAAAAGCCAGGAGAGUCAGUCCGGUUGUCCUGCAAGAUCUCUGGGUAUGCAAUCGAUGCGCAUCAUGAACACUGGAUCCGCAGGCACGCUUCAGGGAGAGGACUAGAAUGGCUGGCCUCUUACCGAACUGAAUCCUUCACUAACCACCAUUCAUCAGCCAUUCAAGGACGCUUCAUCGCUUCUGCUGAUAUUUCCAGCAGCACCUGCUUCUUACAGGUGAACAGCCUGCGAGUUGAGGACUCGGCAGUGUAUUACUGUGCGCGAGAGUCACAAUGAGACAAGGGAAGCAGGUGGCUGGACAGAAACCCGAUUGAAACACAUAGCGGCUCGGUAAUCGAUAUAGUGAACUCGACGGGGAACAGUAGUAGAGGUUAAGGUUUGGUUGGAAUAGGGCAUCGCGUUUCAGUAAUUCCGGAUAUCUGAUCAGUAAAUUAGAUAUUUGUAGCCAAAGACAUGCAAAACCAAUCGCCCUACUGAUAAAAACAAGAUAUGUUGGCACAUGCAAUAAUAGAUUGUCUCUGCACUGUUUGACGCUACACUGUACAGGGCUGAUUUAUAACUGCAAUUUUAUCACAUUCUUUACAUAAUGAACAAAGUCAUGAGCAAAUCAUCACAAUUGUGCAUUGAAUUUAUCAAAUAGGAAUAAUAACAAUCAAAUUCUAUUAUUUCUAUUAUAACCCUAUAUUGAUUUCAGGCAGCAUGCCGUUUGUACUUUAUGUCACUGCAAUAUGUAGCAGAAGUUGGUUUCUGACAAAGAAUAUGUAACUGUAGAGGAGUUUGGAACACUUGUGGGUGUGUUGCAGUAAAAUAAUAAUGAAAACAAUAUUGAAUUGAAAGGGGUAUGAGCACAAUGUUAAACUCUGUUCCAGGUUGGUUUCAGUAGUAGCGCAUUAACUUGUCAGUCAGUCUUCUGCGCUCAGGUUUUUGCUUGUGUGUUAAUCACUGUGGCAAAAGUGGUGGCAGCAGCACUGUGAUACACAUCAGUACAAAAACCUAUGCAGGGAUCAGCUUGAAACACUGAACCACCGAUAGAAAACAUUGAAAGCAUAAAUAGAAUGUGAAGGAUUCGAAAAGGAUUACAAAACACAGGGUAAUGAAUGCAUGCAUCCAGAACUGCACUAAUAGUUUAUUUACCUCGAAAUGUAAGUCAACGGUAAUCAAUAAUAGUGAAGGCACUUUUUAAAGUAUGCAUGUGCUUGAAGCCACAGCUUUUAUGUCAGAAUAAUUUGGUAACUUUCAGGAGUUUUUGGUUCAUUAACUAUUAAUUCAGUGCUUAAUUCAUUAAAUGGUGGAGAAAGUAAU